This 30-nucleotide non-coding RNA is filed under the name Rattus norvegicus (Norway rat). The record is from RNAcentral. Lineage: Eukaryota; Metazoa; Chordata; Mammalia; Rodentia; Muridae.
UUGGGCUACAAAUCGACAUUGUGUCUCCAA